CGAUACUUUGAUCCUGUUUGGAAAAGAAGCAUCAAAAUGAAGGCUGCUGUUAUUCUUGCUGUUCUUGCUGUGGUGCUAUGCGCCAGCACUGUCAACUGUGAGUGUAUUUGUCCCCUCAGCUUGGAACCAGUGUGUGACACCGCCGGCAACUACUACGACAGUCCCUGCAGUUUGAACUGCGUUGAGGGUGCCGUUCAGGCCGCA
Molecule: long non-coding RNA, 204 nt
Filed under: Haliotis rubra (blacklip abalone)
Lineage: Eukaryota; Metazoa; Mollusca; Gastropoda; Lepetellida; Haliotidae
Description: uncharacterized LOC124261089, transcript variant X1
Source: RNAcentral